Molecule: long non-coding RNA, 982 nt
Organism: Mirounga angustirostris (Northern elephant seal)
Lineage: Eukaryota; Metazoa; Chordata; Mammalia; Carnivora; Phocidae
Exons: 6
Source: RefSeq, a predicted model, not a curated record
UUUCUGUGAAUGGUGGACAAAUUAACUCUUUCUUCCAUCCUGAAUAUACUGAAGAAAACUGGAAACCCUGGAAGGCUGGGAUCACCAAGUAGGGGAAGUGCAGAAUAGUCUGACCAUUUUGGGGUAAUCUGGAACAUCGGUAGGAGAAGGAUAGUUCAUAGCUUUGCCCAGUUUGUCACAGGACUUUCUAGAGUUACCCCAGUAUUUUUAAUUGAGGACUUGGAAUGCAGAGAGUUUGCAACAAAAGUAUAUCUCAAGUCUGGUCUUAACUAACAAACAGAUCCCAGCUAUAAACCCAAUCUCCACAUGAAUGUUUAUAGCAACUUUAUUCCUAAUUGCCAAAAACAGGAAGCAAGCAAGAUGUACUUCAAUAGGGUUAAGGAUCCUUUACAUGCGGUACUCCUAAGGUUGUGACUUACCACAUUGUGAGCUCCACUCUCACUGAUUGCUAGAUCAGAAGUGGAGCCAGCCUUGGUCACAUGCAGCGUUGAACUAGCUCUCCCCAACGUCCAUCAUUCUUGGCCCUGAUCCCUACUCCAGCCAUCCUGCUGUUGAUGUUUCUACCAGACGGGCAAUAUCAUGGAUCCUAAAGCAAAACUACUUAAGGAGAGUGAUAGCUGACCUGGAAUGAACAUGUAAUGUGAUGAGGAAUAAACCUUUGUUUGUAAGCCACCGAGACUUGGAGAGAAAGAGAGCACAAGCAAGGGGAGCGGCUACAGAAGGAGAAGCAAGCUCCCCGCUGAGCAGGGAGCUCGAUGCAGGACUCAAUCCCAGGACCCUGGAAUCAUGACCUGAGCUGAAGGCAGAUGCCCAACUGACUGAGCCACCCAGAAAUAAGGAAACUUUUAUUAAAGGAGGGGAAGUUACUUGCCCAGGAUUCCACAACCGGUAAGUGGAAGAGCACAAAUUUGACUUUUAUGAUUUCAUGACUCCAAGUCCAUGUUUUAAAACUCUAUACUGUGCCUCUUCCUUCAAAAAUCAA